UAGGGAAUCUUCCACAAUGGACGCAAGUCUGAUGGAGCAACGCCGCGUGAGUGAAGAAGGUUUUCGGACCGUAAAGCUCUGUUGUUGGUGAAGAAGGAUAGAGGUAGUAACUGGCCUUUUAUUUGACGGUAAUCAACCAGAAAGUCACGGCUAACUACGUGCCAGCAGCCGCGGUAAUACGUAGGUGGCAAGCGUUGUCCGGAUUUAUUGGGCGUAAAGCGAGCGCAGGCGGAAGAAUAAGUCUGAUGUGAAAGCCCUCGGCUUAACCGAGGAAUUGCAUCGGAAACUGUUUUUCUUGAGUGCAGAAGAGGAGAGUAGAACUCCAUGUGUAGCGGUGGAAUGCGUAGAUAUAUGGAAGAAUACCAGUGGCGAAGGCGGCUCUCUGGUCUGCAACUGACGCUGAGGCUCGAAAGCAUGGGUAGCGAACAGGAUUAGAUACCCUUGG
RNAcentral lists this ribosomal RNA (445 nucleotides) under uncultured bacterium. RNAcentral describes it as "partial 16S ribosomal RNA". It matches the Rfam family "Bacterial small subunit ribosomal RNA", at positions 355 to 791 of the family's 1533-position model. The record is from RNAcentral.